GUUGUGUCGUCUAUUUGUUGUUGUUGUAUGCGGAGCAUACUCACUUGGUGAAACCAGUGACGUUACCAGAUGAUCGAUACCUUCCAAGAGCGGCAAGGUGGAACAUCAAAGAAAUAUCUGUUGAGUUUCUAAAGGAUAUGGAGGCUUCGCAAUACACAUUCUCUAAAGAAUUUAAGGAUGAAUAUACUAUGUAUGAAAAAGAAAUGUUGAAUGAAAUUGCUCAAAGGCUUCCAGUUGAAGAAG
Molecule: long non-coding RNA, 243 nt
Organism: Papaver somniferum (opium poppy)
Lineage: Eukaryota; Viridiplantae; Streptophyta; Magnoliopsida; Ranunculales; Papaveraceae
Exons: 3
Source: RefSeq, a predicted model, not a curated record